Non-coding RNA from Streptomyces atratus, 125 nucleotides. The record is from Rfam. Lineage: Bacteria; Bacillati; Actinomycetota; Actinomycetes; Kitasatosporales; Streptomycetaceae.
GAUAGGUCUCUGUCGCUACCGUGAUUGGACACUGACGGAGAGUCAACUAGCCUUGUUCGGGCGGUUCUUCGCAGGGGGAACCGGGGCGGUCCGAGCCACGAGGGGGGAGGCUCGGACCGCCCGAA